This 468-nucleotide ribosomal RNA is filed under the name uncultured bacterium. Its description in RNAcentral is "partial 16S ribosomal RNA". It matches the Rfam family "Bacterial small subunit ribosomal RNA", at positions 28 to 507 of the family's 1533-position model. The record is from RNAcentral.
GACGAACGCUGGCGGCGUGCUUAACACAUGCAAGUCGAACGGAAAGGCCCUGCUUUUGUGGGGUGCUCGAGUGGCGAACGGGUGAGUAACACGUGAGUAACCUGCCCUUGACUUUGGGAUAACUUCAGGAAACUGGGGCUAAUACCGGAUAUGAGCUCCUGCUGCAUGGUGGGGGUGGGAAAGUUUCGGCGGUUGGGGAUGGACUCGCGGCUUAUCAGCUUGUUGGUGGGGUAGUGGCUUACCAAGGCUUUGACGGGUAGCCGGCCUGAGAGGGUGACCGGCCACAUUGGGACUGAGAUACGGCCCAGACUCCUACGGGAGGCAGCAGUGGGGAAUAUUGCACAAUGGGCGGAAGCCUGAUGCAGCAACGCCGCGUGCGGGAUGACGGCCUUCGGGUUGUAAACCGCUUUCGCCUGUGACGAAGCGUGAGUGACGGUAAUGGGUAAAGAAGCACCGGCUAACUACGUG